Molecule: ribosomal RNA, 412 nt
Filed under: Megophrys carinense (Burmese horned frog)
Lineage: Eukaryota; Metazoa; Chordata; Amphibia; Anura; Megophryidae
Description: partial 16S ribosomal RNA
Rfam family: Archaeal large subunit ribosomal RNA
Source: RNAcentral
UUUGACCAUUAUAUAAGGUAAUGCCUGCCCAGUGACCAUGUGUUCAACGGCCGCGGUAUUCUGACCGCGCAAAGGUAGCGUAAUCACUUGUUUUUUAAAUAAAGACUAGUAUGAACGGCCCCACGAGGACUUAACUGUCUCCCUUGUCCAAUCAGUGAAACUGAUCUCCCCGUGCAGAAGCGGGGAUCUUUCCAUAAGACGAGAAGACCCUAUGGAGCUUUAAACUAAAAUCAACUAUUAUUCGCCCAUUUUCUAAGGAACCAACAAAUAACUGAAUAUGCUUGACUUAAGUUUUAGGUUGGGGCGACCAUGGAGAAAAAAAGAUCCUCCCUGAUGACUAUAAACCAAGAACCACAACUCUAAGUAUUAAGAUACUUAACUCUAAUUGACCCAUUUUAUGAUCAACGAACUA